Long non-coding RNA from Lathyrus oleraceus (garden pea), 1609 nucleotides. RefSeq lists it as uncharacterized. The transcript has 2 exons. The record is from RefSeq and is a predicted model, not a curated record. NCBI's taxonomy places the organism in Eukaryota, Viridiplantae, Streptophyta, Magnoliopsida, Fabales, Fabaceae.
UAUUAUGUUUAAAUCAGGAAGAGAUAUGAAAUUGAAUUGAUAUGAAUUAAUCAGGUUUGAAAAAGAUAACUUGGCGUUCGACUAAGGUUUUGGCAUUGUAUUUAAUUGAACUUGAUUUAAAAAACUUGAUUUUAGAUAAUCGAAUUGUUUAGUAAAUUCUAAACAUCCUAACUAAGGAAUCAAGAAAAAUGACAUAAGAAGCUAAAAAUAAUGGAUAUGGAGGAAUCACUACCAUGAGGAAUAAAAUGAAAUGAAAGAGAAAUAUCAAAGGUAAAUGCUUAAUUGAUUAAUUAAAGCUUAAAUUAGUCAACUAAUUAAUUUAACUAAAUUUGAUUAACAUAACCCUAUAAAUUAAAGAAAUACUUGAUAAUGUCAUUAGGUGAAUUGUAUUUAAUUAAAAAAAUUAUUAACUAAUAAUAAUUAUCUAAUUAAAUUAGUUAAGUGGAAAAGAAAACAUGGAAUAUAAAAGAAAACAAAGAGAAAUAGUACUAAAAACAAAAGGGAAGUUGCUGCCAGCCUUGGGAUGUUUUGGGCCAUAAGUCAAGGCCCAACAUCAUUCUCAGGCAUGGGGGUACGAACAAGUGAAAAUGAGAUAUGGACAUGAAAAUGGACUUCAAGCCCAAUACAUGGUCCCAACUAAUUGAGACCUCCCCCGUCUCUCAUCGGAGCAGCCAAUUAAGCCCCUCGUCUGUAUUCCCCCAUUGGUUAACGCGUGUCACAUGGAGAUAGAGAUAGAAACAAAAGAAAACGCUUAGUCUCAAACCUUUAUAUCGUACCCUUUGAUUUCCAAAGAUCAACUUCUACCUUUAACCCUUUUUCAAUCUUAGAAAACAAACUUUGUCACCACCAUAUUCAUCAAAUCAAAGUCCAACACACAAAUCCUGAUCCACAUGUACAAACAAGCAUAAAAACAAUUGAAACAAAAGAAACCAAUCACCUAACCCUAAAUCCCCUACAUGGGAUCCCUAAAGAUCAAAGAAACCUUCAACCUAUGAUGGUAACGGUAAAGCGCAAACCAACAAGAUUAAAAUAAAGCAGCAAUCAAAUAGUUCAUGCAACAUAAACCCUCAUCUGAACAUUUCCCAAACCCACUUUUCAUUAACAGUUAUGGUGAUUUCUUGUUACAACCAACUUAACUCAAUUUAAAGAUGCAAAAACAAAGAAAGAGAAAGUGAGAGAGAGAUAAUAACAAGGAAGAACAAACUCAUUUUGGGUACUCGUUCUCUUUCCUCUUCUGCAACAUCUUUUGCUCCUCCGCGAGUGUUGUUACAGUUGCUCCUACUGAUUGUGGUCAAGCUUGUCUUCUUCAGAGUUUUAAUGUGAAACUCUGAAAAGAAGUCCGAAAUAUAGCUUUGGUGUGGUUGAAGGUUUAUGCAGGAUGGUACGAUGUGAAAAGAAAUAGAUGGCAAAUGGAUGUGGGUGUGUGAAAUGAUGGAGGAACUAUGUGGGGACCACAUCAAGAAUAAAUUUUCUUGUAUUUCUUCUGUGGUAAAAUAAAAAACUCUUUUAUUUAUUUAUUUUGGAUGCAUAUUAACAAUGAGAUUAUAAUAUUAAUGUAUUGGUGUUAAUGCAUAAAAAUGCCCAUUUUAUCUAAUUCUACUUUGCCUUA